UUCUGUCUGUCAUCUGUUGCUGCUGUGUUUGAGACUAUUUUUUUUCUCGGAGCUAAGGAUCGAACCCAGGGCCUUGCGCUUGCUAGGCAAGCACUCUACCACUGAGCUAAAUCCCCAACUCCUACAGUAUUUUUUAUAAAUUCAGUUUGACAUGACCAUCUCGAGCUGUAACCAUCCCAAUUGCCUCAGAAUAAGUCAAGUUCUUCUACUUAGUUUCCCAGCAGAUUAUAAGUGGAUAAACUGUGAGAGUGGCCCUUAGGGCUUUGGGACAUGUCUAGUUCUGAUAGUCACUUAUGACAACCUGGAUACAUUCAACUAGGAUGAAAUCCAUUCUGCCUUAGCCCAUUAAUAUGCCUGUGAGGACCCAGCUGAUCUUCCCACCACCCCUCCCCUCCAGUAAGCCACUAAUAAAGUGCGUCCAUG
This 423-nucleotide long non-coding RNA is filed under the name Androctonus crassicauda. Lineage: Eukaryota; Metazoa; Arthropoda; Arachnida; Scorpiones; Buthidae. The record is from RNAcentral.